Long non-coding RNA from Cydia splendana, 2818 nucleotides. RefSeq lists it as uncharacterized. The transcript is spliced from 2 exons. Lineage: Eukaryota; Metazoa; Arthropoda; Insecta; Lepidoptera; Tortricidae. The record is from RefSeq and is a predicted model, not a curated record.
UAUUUUUGCGGCCUUCGAAGAGUAACAUAUUAUUGCAGGUGACUGUACAGGUUUGGAAGACUUCACUAUGAGCAAUAAUUAACAUUCUAGGCCUUAUUUUCUAAGCCGGUUCGCUCCUGAUAAUUAAAGUUCUCAAUGUAAAUGAUAUUUAGUAUUUACGUCUAACUCGUGAGUUUAGUUGUUUUCGCUACUUCAUUAAUUACCCCAGGUAAGAGUGGGAUUCAGAAUUGGAUAGAGUAAACAGCUGUUUGAUAAAAUCAUAUACUUUGAAUUUUAUCGUAAAAAGAUAGUUGAAAAGUAGGUAGUUCAACAGCAUAGACUAGGAAUCCUCUAGACCGGCGGUCGGCAACCUGCGGCCCGCGGGCCGCAUACGGCUCGUGAAACUGUCACUUGCGGCCUGCGAGCCUCUCUGGCUAUGUAAUAUUGAGAAACGACAAUGUCUGAUUUUUUUUUUUCUUUAUUUAGGAUUACCAACAGAUAAUACAUCUUACAUGCUCUUAAAUCUAUAUAACAAUCAUGACUGAUGCUUAUCUAAUUAUAGGCUUAUAUAAUUAUCUAAAUAUAGAUAAGCUAUAUUAUCUAAUAUAGCUUAUCUAUUAUACUGAUAAAGUCAUAAAUAUUAACAAAGUGCGGCCCGCGUCAACUUACUCAUCGUUAACUACGCCACUAAAACUACCCAAAAAAAGGUUGCCGACCGCUGCUCUAGACGGAGUUUAGAGCAAUUAUUUCAUGAAACCGAUGCUGCCAAAAAUACGGGGGGACGAGGUGAGCGAGGUCCCGUGCCGUGAUUGGUCCGUUCAAAGACACGGACGUCACACAAAGACACUUUCGACUCGAAAAUGGAGUAAAACUACCGUAUGCGUGGUGCGUGUGGUAGAGCUACUAUGCUCAGUCUGGAGGAUGUCUUGUCUGUGUUCAACAGACACCCGCAAACGUCGAUUUACUUUAUCUAAUUUUGAGUGUCACUGCAAAUUCUUUUUAAUGUUGGUUUACGGGAUGAACGGGACUGUCACACAAUUUAAGCAAUGCAAUGUCUUACCUGCAUUUUAUUACAGUAAAAAACAGUUCUCGCAGGACAGGCGAAUUUAUACCUUAAGUCCAACGUCAUAAAGACUCGCAUAUGAAUGCUGUUUUGUCUUGUGUAUUUGUGACUAAUAUUGCCCCAUAGUUUAUUAUAGUCAAAAUAUGGAAAUAAUCAAAUAACUUAAUGAAAUACAUACAUAUUUAUAUGCCAACCUAUUAUCACUGCCACAGUAAAGGCCCUUCCUGACUUGGCGUUGGUGGAAUAAUUGAAGUACGCGGUAUAUCUUAUCAUUCUCACCGCAAAGUCAAGUAGGGCAUUGGAAAUCAGAAUUUGUUAAUGUUAUUGUGAAUGGUUUCAUACAUAAAACCAUUACCAUAAAUGGGUAAAUUCAUAAAUUAAUGUUUAAGGACAUUUUGUUGUUGAAAUCAGAGUUAAAUCGUUCCUAGUCAAGUUUCAUCCCGUAAUAGUUGAGAGUUUAAUCCUUAGUAAAUGUUCCUGGAUCAUAGUUUUAAUCUGAACAAACUAGUUGUGAAGUUAUCGAACUUAAUAUUAAAUAAUUUAAGUAGUGUGCAGCUUCCCUACUGACACUUUCUAAGCAGAUAGUUAUAGGUCAGAGAAAAUUGUUUUAACAGUAUUCAAUGUGUUUUACGCUUUUUAGAGCUCGUUUUAAAAUAUUUAUCAUAACGUCAAAAAUAUCAAAAUGAGGUUAAAUUAUGUAUACAGAUUGUAUACAAUAUGGUUCUACUAUUAUAUAGCACAAAGAAAAAAUAAUUAUUAGUUUGAAAUAAAUACCAAUGCUUCGUUUCUAUCAGUCGCAGAGAACAAUUUUAUUUAUCUUGACAAUGUCUAGUCUACAGUAGAAAACUCUUUCGACACGUUUUUGAUUAUCAUUUUACGUUGAACUUUUCCACUAUACCGUUUUGAUUUGGGUGCUCGCGUGGUAUCUAUGAAAUCUUACAAAUUAUGGUGAUUUCGUAUGAAAAAAUAAUGUACCGCGUCCUAAUAACUCUUUGGUAUCUUAUUAGAGAACACAUUAGGUACACAAUUCCUCAGAUUCCACCAUAACACAAAUAAAAACACUAUGAAAUCAAAACCUGCUACAAAAUGGUAUUUUCGAAUAAAUUGGUAAUUGCUGCUAAGGGGUCAUCCAUUAAUUACGUCACACGAAUUUUUUAGGUAUUUUACCCCUCCCCCCCUCCUUGUCACACUUGGUCACAUUUGGAAAACCCCUCCCCCCUGGUGUGACGUCACAUUUCUUCAACGAAAUCGGCAAAUAUUUAUUUAAUAUUUUAUCAAAAUAUUUUUGACAAAAGAAAUAUUAGUGAUUUUAUAACCCAAAACUGAUUAAGAAAUAAAAUUAAACGAAUAAAAAUGAUUAUCGUUUCAAAAACUUGUUAAUUAAAUGUAUAUUAGCGGAUAAAAUAAUUUAAAUAAAUUUUCGGUUACUGAUGAAGUUAAAGUGACGUCACAAAGUUUAUGACUCCCCCCUCCCCCUUGUCACAACAUGUCACAUUUUCUUGACUCCCUCCCUCCCCCUAAACGUGUGAUGUAAUUAAUGGAUGACCCCUAAGUGCUAGAUAUACUAGUAGCUACGCCGUUCUUAGUAUAACGAAAUAAGUGUCUUUAACGUGGUUUAAGAACUCACAAUGUCAAUUGCUCAUUACUGAGGGCUCCUAAACUAAGUCCGGAUUCCACGGAGGUCCGGUUUCUCGAGCGGUUAAGAUCUUGGUCUCCCGUUGACGUCGUAUCAUCCUGCGUAUGAGGAAUCACACCGAAUAGGAUACAGUAAGAAAA